AUAUACAAAAGAAGAUGCCAAGAAAAAAUUGUUAGAUGCUAAUCUUCAUAUAAAAGAUCAAGAUGAUUGUGAGAUUGGAAAAAAAUUAAAUGAUAGUG
This is a long non-coding RNA of Ipomoea nil (Japanese morning glory), 98 nucleotides long. RefSeq lists it as uncharacterized. The record is from RefSeq and is a predicted model, not a curated record. The transcript has 3 exons. Lineage: Eukaryota; Viridiplantae; Streptophyta; Magnoliopsida; Solanales; Convolvulaceae.